GAUGAAGAACGUAGUGAAAUGCGAUAAUUAAUGUGAAUUGCAGAAUUCAGUGAAUCAUCGAGUCUUUGAACGCGCAUUGCGCCCCCUGGUAUUCCGGGGGGCAUGCCUGUCCGAGCGUCAUUGCUGCCCUCAAGCACGGCUUGUGUGUUGGGCUUCCGUCCCUGGCAACGGGGACGGGCCCAAAAGGCAGUGGCGGCACCAUGUCUGGUCCUCGAGCGUAUGGGGCUUUGUCACCCGCUCCCGUAGGUCCAGCUGGCAGCUAGCCUCGCAACCAAUCUUUUUAACCAGGUUGACCUCGGAUCAGGUAGGGAUACCCGCUGAACUUAAGCAUAUCAAUAAGCGGAGGA
RNAcentral lists this unclassified non-coding RNA (347 nucleotides) under soil metagenome. RNAcentral describes it as "partial contains 5.8S ribosomal RNA, internal transcribed spacer 2, and large subunit ribosomal RNA". The stretch from base 1 to 120 matches the Rfam family "5.8S ribosomal RNA", at positions 35 to 154 of the family's 154-position model. The record is from RNAcentral.